CAGUGGCUUGGCCUCACUCCCACUCCUGAAGUCGCAGAGCUCCUGAUGACCUGAAGCAUCUGGAAUCUAAGUGGCUGGUGGAAGAAUCCCCACCUGCUACUCUCCUGAUCCAGCUAUGACCCUAGGCUGCUGUGACAUCAUGAUGACUACCAAUCCAAAUGGGACUGUGGGACAGGGACCUCCUGGUUCCACCCUUGCCACAGGCUGCAGAGGUAGGGGAAAUAAUUACCCCUAUGUCCAAAGCAUGUGGUCAUGGAGGGAGUGACAAUCGUCACUGGAAGCACAGAGAUUCAGCUGCCACCAGAAAAGCAGCAAGACAAACCAACUCCCAUAGGUGCUAGCAGCAAAAGUACCACCUAACUCAUUUGACUACACAAGCAGGCGGCAGAUGCAGAUACCAACCUCCAGGACCCAGAAGGAAGGGCUGGCAAAGCUCCAACUUCAAAAGGUGGCUAAAAAUACAUGGAAAAGAGAUAGCACAAAGCGACAGGGGGCCAGGAGGACAAGAAAUGCCCCAUUCAUGAUGCCCCACAUCCCUGGCGCAGCCCAUCUGAAUGGUGCUCUUAUGAGGUUGCCAGCUUUGAAAGUUAAAAAAAAGGGAGAAAAAUAUGUGUAACUUAAGUCGGAAAGAAGGGAGGUCUCACAGAGGAAGAGCUUGCCAAUGAGGCUUCGUCUUCACAGGGUAGAGCUUUUUCUUUCUCUCUGGCCACUGGAUCUGCAGUUCAGCAAGCACGCAGACCAGCUUAACAAGAAGCAAGGGAAAGGCAAGAACUGGGCUCUUCAGGAGGAGGUGCACAAACACCACCAAUUUUGUGGAGGAAAGGAACUAAAUACAGGAAGAGACGGAAGAGAGUGAGACAAGAGUCUGCCUCUGCUGCUACUGUCAGGCUUGGAAAGGACAUUUUUUUUGCUCCGAUUCUGUUUGAACAGUCCUAAACCCAGAAAAUUCAGCAAGAAUGUCAAAUGAACUCAAAACUGCUGGGAGGAUUUUACAUACUUUUAAGACAACUGGGCUAAUAUUGGCAUCACAUCCCAGGAUGAGUUGUGCGAGGUCACGGAAUGAGCUCCUAGCCUGAGAGUUGGAUGACAUUUGUGUUGAUCCAUGCCCCGUGUUGAAGCUUUGCAGAACUGGAUCUACAAUGUGACAACCAUUACAGGAAAGUAAAUCAUGUGUUUCCAAGCAUGGAAGAUGAGCUACAGUCACCAUUAUAAGACGCAGCCAUGGUGGCAUGCUUUCAUAAUAUUUGAUGUAACAAUAACAAUAAUUGCAAUGACCAUUUUCUGACUAACCAGAAAUGGGCCCUCGAAACACCCUCUGGUUUCACCCUUAUGGCAUCUGUCAAUGGAGAUGCCACUCUUCAUUCUGCAAUAGGCAAAUCGGUUCAGCAAGAUUGUGGGACCAGAGAGCUUAUAGUACCAGAGCUUAACUUGGAAUUCAAGUCCAGCUGACACCAGUCAACUUCUUAACACUUCUUCAAAUAAUGUGGCCAACCACUUUCCAGCAUCUUGAAAGAAAUUAAAAAAUGGAGAUAUGCUUCUUGUCUAGGAAAGAUCACAUAGGUUUGUUUUUCAAUCCACAUGUGAAAUAAUGUAAUGAGUGGAGUAACAUUCAACAGACACAGAAACCAGAACUGAUGAAUUGAAACACUUGCAUAACACUUAAAUCUGGAAAAA
Non-coding RNA from Ictidomys tridecemlineatus (thirteen-lined ground squirrel), 1674 nucleotides. NCBI's taxonomy places the organism in Eukaryota, Metazoa, Chordata, Mammalia, Rodentia, Sciuridae. The record is from RefSeq and is a predicted model, not a curated record.